This 440-nucleotide ribosomal RNA is filed under the name Weissella confusa. Its description in RNAcentral is "bacterial SSU rRNA". It matches the Rfam family "Bacterial small subunit ribosomal RNA", at positions 338 to 795 of the family's 1533-position model. Lineage: Bacteria; Bacillati; Bacillota; Bacilli; Lactobacillales; Lactobacillaceae. The record is from RNAcentral.
CCUACGGGAGGCUGCAGUGGGGAAUCUUGGUCAAUGGGGGAAACCCUGAACCAGCGACGCCGCGUGACCGAUGAAGGCCCUCGGGUCGUAAAGGUCUUUCGACGGGGACUAUAAUGAAUGUACCCGUAAAAGCAGGAGCGGCUAACUAUGUGCCAGCAGCCGCGGUAAUACAUAGGCUCCAAGCGUUGUUCGGAAUUACUGGGCGUAAAGCGAGUGUAGGCUGUCCGCCAAGUCGAUUGUGAAAUCUCCCGGCUCAACUGGGAGGGUGCGGUCGAAACUGGCGGACUAGAGUUCGGGAGAGGAGAGUGGAAUUCCUGGUGUAGCGGUGAAAUGCGUAGAUAUCAGGAGGAACACCGGCGGUGAAGACGGCUCUCUGGACCGAUACUGACGCUGAGACUCGAAAGCGUGGGGAGCAAACAGGAUUAGAUACCCGUGUAGUC